GAUGAACGCUGGCGGCGCGCCUAACACAUGCAAGUCGAACGGCACCCCUCUCCGGAGGGAAGCGAGUGGCGAACGGCUGAGUAACACGUGGAGAACCUGCCCCCUCCCCCGGGAUAGCCGCCCGAAAGGACGGGUAAUACCGGAUACCCCGGGGUGCCGCAUGGCACCCCGGCUAAAGCCCCGACGGGAGGGGAUGGCUCCGCGGCCCAUCAGGUAGACGGCGGGGUGACGGCCCACCGUGCCGACAACGGGUAGCCGGGUUGAGAGACCGACCGGCCAGAUUGGGACUGAGACACGGCCCAGACUCCUACGGGAGGCAGCAGUGGGGAAUCUUGCGCAAUGGGGGGAACCCUGACGCAGCGACGCCGCGUGCGGGACGGAGGCCUUCGGGUCGUAAACCGCUUUCAGCAGGGAAGAGUCAAGACUGUACCUGCAGAAGA
RNAcentral lists this ribosomal RNA (440 nucleotides) under uncultured bacterium. Its description in RNAcentral is "bacterial SSU rRNA". It matches the Rfam family "Bacterial small subunit ribosomal RNA", at positions 28 to 488 of the family's 1533-position model. The record is from RNAcentral.